Molecule: transfer RNA, 64 nt
Filed under: Bicellonychia lividipennis
Lineage: Eukaryota; Metazoa; Arthropoda; Insecta; Coleoptera; Lampyridae
Description: tRNA-His
Rfam family: tRNA
About the family: Transfer RNA (tRNA) molecules are approximately 80 nucleotides in length. Their secondary structure includes four short double-helical elements and three loops (D, anti-codon, and T loops). Further hydrogen bonds mediate the characteristic L-shaped molecular structure. tRNAs have two regions of fundamental functional importance: the anti-codon, which is responsible for specific mRNA codon recognition, and the 3' end, to which the tRNAs corresponding amino acid is attached (by aminoacyl-tRNA synthetases). tRNAs cope with the degeneracy of the genetic code in two manners: having more than one tRNA (with a specific anti-codon) for a particular amino acid; and 'wobble' base-pairing, i.e. permitting non-standard base-pairing at the 3rd anti-codon position.
Source: RNAcentral
AUUCAGGUAGUUUAAUAAAAACGUUAGUUUGUGGAUCUAAAAAUAUAAUUAUUUAUUUUGAAUA